UGUGGGGGGGGAACAGGGAGGGUGAAAACCACCCAGCGGAGCCGCCGGGGCGGGGAGGAAACCUGCGCCAGGAGCCACGUGCUGGAGCCGGCGCUGGGUGGGUGGCUCGGGGAGCGGUGGGGGAGGGAGAGGCCCUUGCUGGGAAAGGCCCCAGGCCACGUUUCUGGGGGAGGAGAAGAACCGCGGGUGGACACCCUGGGCCCCAGGCCACCAGGGAACCUUCACCUCCGUCUGGAUAAUGCAGCCCAGAUCUCUUUGAUGGGAGCAGCUCUGGCCAAGCCCUGCCUGCUUGGGGUUGGACCUGAAGGAAUGCACUGGCCUAACCUAAUUGCCUUUUCGGACCUCGGUGGGACGGCGCUGGGGCUGGGACGGGAGGCUCUCCCACCUCACACCCUUCAAAGGGGAUGUACGUCCAAGGGUCGAAGAAUUGGAGAGCCUAAGUAAACCCAGGGUGGUUGGCUGUCCAGGGAAGGUGGGGGGAGUCGUAGGAAGAAGAAAGGAAGCAUGCAAAAGAAGGAAGAAGCAUUUAAGCACGUGAUAAGGACAUAACUGCAGUCCUUGGAAAGGUGGAUUUCCUACUCCCUGGGAAUUUAAGCCAAAAUCCCCUCAGCAGAGAAAAUGGAUUAGCUGCAGGAAGGAAUGAGACACGUUGAGGAGUCUGGGCUGCUUCCGAGUGGAUGCUCAAGAAGGGCUAGAGACCCUUUAAGAAGCACCCACCUGCAGUGGCCUAAGUGGCACCUAGAAACUUCUGUAAACCCUUACGGUUUUUCCUGCCUAAUCAAUCAGGAAGGGAGAGGAGCCAGGAAGUCAAGGCGGCAAACCUCCACAGCUUUGCCAUGCUGUUCUUUCAAAGCCACAGCUCAACAAGUGAUGCCAGCCCAGGGAGGGGGUGUCGUCUGUGUCUCCUCUUGCAGGCGGAAGCAGCACCACAGCCGGGAGAACAAAACCCGUUUGGAUCUGUCCAGAGCUGUUUGUCAGUACUGCCUUCCAGGACCACGUGAGCUGCCUCUUGCCCCACGUGACCCUCAUUCAAACUCAGGGAGAACGAGAGCUCCCGGGCCCCUUCUCCUCGGACAGCCUAAUCCCACGUGUGCAGAUGGGUGGCUCAUUUCUGCCAGCUCAAAAUAA
This 1128-nucleotide long non-coding RNA is filed under the name Sus scrofa (pig). Its description in RNAcentral is "lncRNA (ENSSSCG00055000892.1)". The record is from RNAcentral. Lineage: Eukaryota; Metazoa; Chordata; Mammalia; Artiodactyla; Suidae.